CAGGCGAAAUUGACAGGCGCCUGUUAUAUGGACAGCACUUGCAAUAACAGAUGGGGGGGCAGAGGGAUGGACUGUGCACGGGCGCCUGAUUGAUCACACCAAAGUGGGCAAACACACAAGGAUUCAACAGGGAUGUGACCGAGGCAUUCGAUGCAGCAACCCGGGAGUCACCGUUUCACGGUGAAGGUGGGAAGAGAGAACGAUGGCAGGGGAAGAAGAAGAAGAAGACGAGACAGAAAAAAACCCUUCUGCAUGUGGACUCUCUUUUGUCUUGGCUGGAAAAACCCAAACUCUCCUCUCUGCCUCCGACCUGAGGACACAUCUGUAACGUCUGAGGUAUUCACUUUGCACUGAAAUGUUCCCUGUGUGUGGCAGCAUGUGCUGUAGACUCACAGGGUCGAGAUGCCUGCAGAGAUGUGGGCUGUGUGGGGGGGGGACAAAAGAAAUCAUCAGCAGAGAUCUGCUCAGUCCUACCGACCACCUUCCUCCCUCCCCCUCC
Molecule: long non-coding RNA, 499 nt
Organism: Seriola aureovittata
Lineage: Eukaryota; Metazoa; Chordata; Actinopteri; Carangiformes; Carangidae
Exons: 4
Source: RefSeq, a predicted model, not a curated record